Long non-coding RNA from Oreochromis niloticus (Nile tilapia), 2847 nucleotides. The record is from Ensembl. NCBI's taxonomy places the organism in Eukaryota, Metazoa, Chordata, Actinopteri, Cichliformes, Cichlidae.
AUGACACGACCCGUGCCACGACGACACGCUGUGGACUCAGCGGACUCAGACCUGUUCGAGCGGCAGGACGCAGCGCUCUCCAUUUGGGCGGAGAAGCUCAGGUGGAAACAGCGGCUCUUCUCAGAGAGGGACCAUGUCUUUGAGGGGACCCAUCUGGCUCUCGGCGGGCCUCGGGGACGCAGCCGUCCUCCACCUGCUGCCUUACCUGCAUUGGAGCAUUCGCCGCGGAGAGUGGGCGUCACAGGCCGAGCUUCGGCCGCUCGCUCUCCCGCCGCUCCGCUCCUCGCUCGCCCGCCAGCCGUUUUACUCACCGGCUCUUCCACUUCGCCACUGCACAGCGGCUACGCCUCCCACCUCGGCUCAACGGAGGCUCCCGUGCCAGAGGCUCGGCUGUGUACCCCGCCCGCUUCCUCUUCCCGGAGAAAGCGGCGCACACACCGCCAUAACAUGGACUAUUUUCAGCAACUCCCGGCGGUGAGUCCCAGUGACUGUUUGCCACCUUCCUCAUUUGAUUCUUCACAUAAAACGAAUAAUAGACUCAUCUCCGAUUCAUGGGGAACUUCCCUCUUAGACGAUGAUGUGGACUGGGAAGACUUUUUCUGCUCUGCUUCCCCAAAGACAGCUCAGUUAAAGACUGUAAAUAGUGGUGGCAGAAGGACCAGAACAAUCCCUGAUAGACCUGUCAGUCUCAUUCACCCAGUCCCCAUCUCCAUCCCUAUCAGUCAGCUCACAUCCACACCUGUGCCCGCUCCCAGGACGAGGGCAGCUGUGACCCAGCCUACCUCCACACCAGUUCCUGUUCCUCGGGUGGGGGUGACUGGUGUCCAGCCACCUUCCGUGCCUGUCCCAGCACCCAGGCUGAGGGCAACCAGAACCCAGACUGACCUCCCUAGAAGCGUGGAAGAGCUAGCCCCUCCACCUGUCAGUUCACCACUUCAUCCACCUCCUGAUCCAGCUUUUCACGCCCUCGCACUGUCCCUGGUUAGGCUAGCUGAGGUGUCCCCUGCCCAGGCACCUGCUUUACUAGCCCAGGCUGCAGUUUUAUCACCUUCAGUAAUUCAGUCUUUAGCUCAGCCAUUAGCCACACCAACCCCAGCUCAGCCCUUAGCCUCACCCACCUCUGUUCAUCCAUUACCCUCUCCAGUCCAGUCAGUCCAGCCUGCUCCAGUCCAGUCAGUCCAGCCUGCUCCAGUCCAGCCUGCUCCAGUCCAGUCAGUCCAGCCUGCUCCAGUCCAGUCAGUCCAGCCUGCCCCAGUCCAGCCAGUCCAGCCUGCUCCAGUCCAGUCAGUCCAGCCUGCUCCAGUCCAGUCAGUCCAGCCUGCCCCAGUCCAGCCAGUCCAGCCUGCUCCAGUCCAGCCUGCUCCAGUCCAGUCAGCUCCACUCCAGUCAGCUCCACUCCAGCCAGCCCAGUCGCCUGCACUCCAGUCAGUAGUCCAGUCUCCUCCUGUCCAGUCCCCUGUAGUUCAGUCUCCUCCUGUCCAGUCCCCUGUAGUUCAGUCUCCUGCCCUCCAGUCCCCUGUAGUUCAGUCUCCUCCUGCCCUCCAGGCCCCUGUAGUUCAGUCUCCCCCUGCCCUCCAGUCAGGCCAGUCGCCCCCUGUAGCUCAGUGCCCUGUUCUCCAGUUGCCUCCUGUCAUCCAGUCGCCCGUCCUCCAGCCUGUCCAGCCUGUCCAGUCAGUUCAGUCUGUCGUCCAGCAUCCUGUUGUUCAGUCAUCCGUUCUCUCGCUGUCUGUAGUCCACUCUCCUAAUCAGUCUCUAGCCCAGUCACUCAUUCACCACCCAUUCCAGUUCCCGGACCCGAAGCCGCAGCAUCCAGAGCCAGCUGUGAGCUCUCCCGGUCCUCAGCCAGGGGUUUCCACACCCGCUGGCCCGGCCGCUCCUCAGCCAGGGGUUUCCGCACCCGCUGGCCCGGCCGCUCCUCAGCCAGGGGUUUCCGCACCCGCUGGCCCGGCCGCUCCUCAGCCAGGGUUUCCGCACCCGCUGGCCCGGCCGCUCCUCAGCCAGGGGUUUCCGCACCCGCUGGCCCGGCCGCUCCUCAGCCAGGGGUUUCCGCACUCGCUGGCCCGGCCGCUCCUCAGCCAGGGGUUCCCGCACCCGCUGGCCCGGCUGCUCCUCAGCCAGGGGUUUCCGCACCCGCUGGCCCCGCCUGUCUCCAGCCAGAGGCCUCCGCGCCUGCUGGCCCCGCCUGUCUCCAGCCAGAGGCCUCCGCGCCUGCUGGCCCCGCCUGUCUCCAGCCAGAAGCCUCCGCGCCUACAGCUCCCAAGCCGUCGCCUGGUCCGGCCUCUGCUUCAGCUUCUGCUUCGCCUGGUCCGGCCUCUGCUUCGGCUUCUGCUUCGCCUGGUCCGGCCUCUGCUUCGGCUUCUGCUUCGCCUGGUCCGGCCUCUGCUUCGGCUUCUGCUCCGCCUGGUCCGGCCUCUGCUUCGGCUUCUGCGUCGCCUGGUCCGGCCUCUGCUUCAGCUUCGCCGUCGCCUGGUCCGGCCUCUGCUUCAGCUUCGCCGUCGCCUGGUCCGGCCUCGGCCUCAGCUUCGCCGUAGCCUGGUCCGGCCUCGGCCUCAGCCUCGGCUUCAGCUUUGCCUUCGCCUGGUCCAGCUUCUGCCACGCCGUCGCCCAAGCCACGUUCUGGACGUCAACGUCGGCGCUGUCUUCCUCGCGGCCGCCCACCGGACCUUCUCAGUGGCCGCCGCCGUCUUCCUCGCCGCCGCCCACCGGAUCGACUCCAGCGUCACCGCUGGCCACGUGGCCGCCCGCCUGACUUGUCUUUGUUUUGGACUCCGUCCCUCCGUCCUGGGCCCCCUCCGCCCUCCCUGUUCCGGUUUUUCGUUCUUUUGGCCGUCGGGUGCCGGCCUUUGA